GUGCCAGCCGCCGCGGUAAUACGUAGGGUGCGAGCGUUAAUCGGAAUUACUGGGCGUAAAGCGUGCGCAGGCGGUUUCGUAAGACAGAUGUGAAGUCCCCGGGCUUAACCUGGGAACUGCGUUUGUGACUGCGAGACUUGAGUGCGGCUGAGGGGGGGGGAAUUCCUAGUGUAGCGGUGAAAUGCGUAGAGAUUGGGAGGAACACCGAUGGCGAAGGCAGCCCCCUGGGUCGACUCU
This 237-nucleotide ribosomal RNA is filed under the name uncultured bacterium. RNAcentral's name for it is "partial 16S rRNA". It matches the Rfam family "Bacterial small subunit ribosomal RNA", at positions 505 to 741 of the family's 1533-position model. The record is from RNAcentral.